RNAcentral lists this long non-coding RNA (431 nucleotides) under Oryza brachyantha (malo sina). RNAcentral's name for it is "long non-coding RNA (OBRA_LNC003493)". Lineage: Eukaryota; Viridiplantae; Streptophyta; Magnoliopsida; Poales; Poaceae. The record is from RNAcentral.
AAAAAAAAAAACCCUACUCUUUGGCCCAUUUUGCAAUACCUUCAUAAUAUCUGAACAACAUGAUCUACUCAGGGCUGAGAAGGAUGCAAGUGAGGUUAGCAGUAGUGAGCUUGGCACUACAACUACGGACAUGCCAAAAUUCAAGACACUAUCGCUGAAUGAUUCACCCUCUGCACCUGAUUCAAUUGGCAGGUAUGACCUUGAUUCCUUUGAAAUAAUGGGGUGGUUGUUAAUAUGUUACUAUCCGCAAAUAUCAGUCCACUUCCAAGGGUUAUAAAUCUAGUUUAUGUUAGCAGACAAUCAUAUGAUAGUCCUAUAUAUUAGUUCAUCCCGUAGCAUGACCAUAUCUUAACUUGGUGGUGAGCUCCUCCUUUGUCCUUCCCCUUUUUGGAGCGCCCCCUGCUCGACACACACACGAACACACAAAAGAA